AUGAACGCUAGCGACAGGCCUAACACAUGCAAGUCGAGGGGCAGCACAAGGAGCAAUCUGAGGUGGCGACCGGCGCACGGGUGAGUAACACGUAUGCAACCUGCCUGUAAGCGGGGAAUAACCCGUUGAAAGACGGACUAAUACCGCAUAAUACUAAAUUACUGCAUGGUAAUUUAUUUAAACAUUUAUGGCUUACAGAUGGGCAUGCGCAUGAUUAGCUAGUUGGAGAGGUAACGGCUCCCCAAGGCAGCGAUCAUUAGGGGUUCUGAGAGGAAGGUCCCCCACACUGGUACUGAGACACGGACCAGACUCCUAUGGGAGGCAGCAGUGAGGAAUAUUGGUCAAUGGACGAGAGUCUGAACCAGCCAAGUCGCGUGCAGGAAGAAUGUUCCCUAUGGAUUGUAAACUGCUUUUGCAGGGGAAUAAAGUGCAUCACGUGUGAUGUUUUGUAUGUACUCUGCGAAUAAGGAUCGGCUAACUCCGUGCCAGCAGCCGC
RNAcentral lists this ribosomal RNA (496 nucleotides) under uncultured bacterium. Its description in RNAcentral is "bacterial SSU rRNA". It matches the Rfam family "Bacterial small subunit ribosomal RNA", at positions 29 to 518 of the family's 1533-position model. The record is from RNAcentral.